UUUUCACUUUCUCAGCUCUUUCAUCUUCAGGUGACCUCACUUAUGCCCGCCACAUUCUCACCACUCUCCAAACCCCAAAUUCAUACUACUACAACACCAUGAUUCGUGCUUACUCGGACUCUACCGACCCAAACCGGUCUCUUAGCCUUUUCCUUUCAAUGCAUUGCCGUGAAGAACCCGUUGUACCUGGACCCGACAAGUUCACUUAUCCGUUUGUCCUUAAGGCUUGUUCGAAGUUGCGACAUGCCCAGCUCGGGAAACAGAUUCAUGGGCUGAUUUUAAAGUCGGGUUUAAUGUCGGAUCGCUAUGUGAACAAUGCACUUAUUCACAUGUACUCACCGACCCGACCCGGUCUAUUUGCCUUUUCCUUGCCAUGCACUGCCGUGAAGAAACCCUCAUACCUGGACCCGACAAGUUUACGUACCCGUUUGUCCUUAAGGCUUGUUCGAAGUUGCGAUAUGC
Molecule: long non-coding RNA, 462 nt
Filed under: Nicotiana benthamiana
Lineage: Eukaryota; Viridiplantae; Streptophyta; Magnoliopsida; Solanales; Solanaceae
Description: long non-coding RNA (NBEN_LNC026648)
Source: RNAcentral